GAUGAACGCUGGCGGCGUGCCUAAUACAUGCAAGUAGAACGCUGAAGGAAGGAGCUUGCUCUUUCCGGAUGAGUUGCGAACGGGUGAGUAACGCGUAGGUAACCUGCCUGGUAGCGGGGGAUAACUAUUGGAAACGAUAGCUAAUACCGCAUAACAGUAGAUGUUGCAUGAUAUCUACUUAAAAGGUGCAAUUGCACCACUACCAGAUGGACCUGCGUUGUAUUAGCUAGUUGGAGAGGUAACGGCUCACCAAGGCGACGAUACAUAGCCGACCUGAGAGGGUGAUCGGCCACACUGGGACUGAGACACGGCCCAGACUCCUACGGGAGGCAGCAGUAGGGAAUCUUCGGCAAUGGACGGAAGUCUGACCGAGCAACGCCGCGUGAGUGAAGAAGGGUUUCGGAUCGUAAAGCUCUGUUGUAAGAGAAGAACGAGUGUGAGAGUGGAAAGUUCACACUGUGACGGUAUCUUACCAGAAAGGGACGGCUAACUACGUG
This 497-nucleotide ribosomal RNA is filed under the name uncultured bacterium. RNAcentral's name for it is "partial 16S ribosomal RNA". It matches the Rfam family "Bacterial small subunit ribosomal RNA", at positions 28 to 507 of the family's 1533-position model. The record is from RNAcentral.